Long non-coding RNA from Tachysurus fulvidraco (yellow catfish), 305 nucleotides. RefSeq lists it as uncharacterized. Lineage: Eukaryota; Metazoa; Chordata; Actinopteri; Siluriformes; Bagridae. The record is from RefSeq and is a predicted model, not a curated record. The transcript has 3 exons.
AAGAUCAGCAGUUUUGUGCUCACACUAAUUCUGAGACCUGGACAUUGGGAACACAUUUAGAUGAAUCUUUCAUGAACAGAGAAAUGAAAUCAGUGAAGAAGCUCAUCAUCAUUUACUCUCUAUUUCAAGCUGUUUUGUGUAGAGAAUUCUCCAUCAGUCUACCAGAGAGUGUAGAAGCUCUGAGAGGACUCUGUGUUCUCAUACCCUGCAGUUUUCAGAUUGAAGAACAAUAUAACGUAGACCUCCGGGGAGAUCCUACAGGAAUCUGGUUAAAAUAUGGCACUGAUGUCAGUAACAAAGUCUUU